This 24-nucleotide transfer RNA is filed under the name Justicia valida. Its description in RNAcentral is "partial tRNA-Leu". The record is from RNAcentral. RNAcentral also lists the same sequence under 1 other name. Lineage: Eukaryota; Viridiplantae; Streptophyta; Magnoliopsida; Lamiales; Acanthaceae.
UGGGUUCAAGUCCCUCUAUCCCCA